AAUAAGUGCAUUUUUGCAUUGUUUAUGUUCAAUGCUUGAUCGUUCAUCUUAUUUAUAAAAAUUAUGAUUAGUAUUUUUAUUGUUAUUAGAUGAUAACACGUGGAUAUUACUUUAUGUGUGACUAUUUUAAAAAAAUUUAUAAAAUUUUUAAAUAAGACGAACGGUCAAACAUUAGACAUGGAAAUCCACAAAUACAGUUAUA
Molecule: non-coding RNA, 202 nt
Organism: Oryza brachyantha (malo sina)
Lineage: Eukaryota; Viridiplantae; Streptophyta; Magnoliopsida; Poales; Poaceae
Source: Rfam